GUAGGGAAUAUUGGGCAAUGGUCGGAAGACUGACCCAGCCAUGCCGCGUGCAGGAAGACGGCCCUCUGGGUUGUAAACUGCUUUUAUCUGGGAAGAAAAAGGCCAUGCGUGGCAAAUUGCCGGUACCAGAUGAAUAAGCACCGGCUAACUCCGUGCCAGCAGCCGCGGUAAUACGGAGGGUGCGAGCGUUGUCCGGAUUUAUUGGGUUUAAAGGGUGCGUAGGCGGCUGAUUAGGUCAGCGGUGAAAGACUUCGGCUUAACCGGAGCAGUGCCGUUGAUACUGGUUGGCUUGAGUGUCGGAGGGGUACAUGGAAUUGAUGGUGUAGCGGUGAAAUGCAUAGAUACCAUCAGGAACACCGAUAGCGAAGGCAUUGUACUGGCCGACAACUGACGCUGAUGCACGAAAGUGUGGGGAUCGAACAGGAUUAGAAACCCCAGUAGUCC
This 444-nucleotide ribosomal RNA is filed under the name uncultured bacterium. RNAcentral's name for it is "partial 16S ribosomal RNA". It matches the Rfam family "Bacterial small subunit ribosomal RNA", at positions 354 to 796 of the family's 1533-position model. The record is from RNAcentral.